RNAcentral lists this ribosomal RNA (613 nucleotides) under Tricharia longispora. RNAcentral's name for it is "partial large subunit ribosomal RNA". It matches the Rfam family "Eukaryotic large subunit ribosomal RNA", at positions 35 to 658 of the family's 3401-position model. The record is from RNAcentral. Lineage: Eukaryota; Fungi; Ascomycota; Lecanoromycetes; Ostropales; Graphidaceae.
UAAGCAUAUCAAUAAGCGGAGGAAAAGAAACCAACAGGGAUUACCCUAGUAACGGCGAGUGAAGCGGUAAAAGCUCAGAUUUGAAAUCUCUUUAAUUAAUUAAAGCGAAUUGUAAUCUGUAGAAGGGUGAAUGGCUAAUGCUCUGGUUUAAAUUUUCUGGAAUGAAAUAUCAUAGAGGGUGAGAAUCCCGUGAGCACCAGCAGUCUACGCCAAUUAAUUCCCCUUUCGACGAGUCGAUUAGUUUGAGAAUGCUGAUCUAAAUGGGUGGUAAAUUUCAUCUAAAGCUAAAUAUCUGCCAGAGACCGAUAGCGAACAAGUAGAGUGAUCGAAAGAUGAAAAGCACUUUGAAAAGAGAGUUAAAAAGUACGUGAAAUUGUUGAAAGGGAAGCGCUUGCAAUUAGACUUGAUAAUUUAAUUCGAUCAAUCUACGGAUUCGAUUUAUUUUUUUAUUAUCAGGCCAGCAUCAGUUUGGCGAAAUUAAUAAAAGUAAUCGGAAUGUAGUAAUUAUUUCGAUAAUUAUGUUAUAGCCUUUUACAGCAUUAAUUUAUGCUAGACUGAGGUCUGCUCUUUUGAAAGGAUGCUGGCAUAAUGAUUGUAAGCGACCCGUCUUGAA